This is a non-coding RNA of Paramuricea clavata, 5525 nucleotides long. The record is from the annotation of a GenBank genome assembly. Lineage: Eukaryota; Metazoa; Cnidaria; Anthozoa; Malacalcyonacea; Plexauridae.
CAGAUUUUUACAAAUACAAGAAGAACAACGACGGCAAGAAGAAGAGUUAGAACAACGACAUGUUGAACUAAAGGAUAGACUAUUGCAUUUCCAGCAAGAACAAAGACAGAAAGAAGAUGAGUUGCAAAAACGAACAGCUGAACUUGAGCUUACAAAACGACGAGCUGAAGAAGCACGAAAAAUAACUGAAUUAAACCAAAUUAGAGCGGAAACCGCUGACCAUGCCUCCAAUUCCCACCACGACAGUUUAGAGAACACUCUCAAUAAUAUCAAUUUGCUUCCACCCACACCUUCAGUGCAACCUAAUUAUAAAACAGCCAAAAGAAAUGGAACAGUUAAAUUGAAAGGUGUGGAUUUACCAAACUUUUCAGGCGAAAAUAAGGCAGACUAUGAGUCAUGGAAAGCUGCAUUCAUGGCCAUCAUUGAUAAAGCAGAGAUUCCAGUUAGUGAAAAGAUGUUACGCCUCCAAAGUAGUUUAUCUGGGAAGGCAUUAGUUAUGGUCAAAGACCUUGGCUACUCACUGAAUGCAUAUGAGAGAGCAAAGUCCAAACUGGAAAAGAAAUAUGGCGGAGAAAGACGACUGAUGAUAAAACAUUUAACAGCCUUGCGUGAUAUGCCAAAGAUUAAGUCACGGAACCUUGAAGACAUGGAACAUUUUCUGGUCAUUUUGGAACGUGUCAUGAUUGCAUUGCAAGACAGUGGACCGGGUAGAGAACUGACAGGGCAAAAUUUGAAUCUCACCGCAAAAGAGAAGUUAUCACAAAGAGAUGUUCAAGCAUACAAAUACUGGCUUAUUGAACAUUCCAAUGAGGAUAACUUUGAAACCCUAGUUGAAUGGGUAGAACUUCAAGUUCAAAUUAUGGAAGAAGCCCAAGAAGAGACAAGUGGCCUCGGAACUAAGCCAGAAGAGCGGAAAUACUUUAGAGGCAAUGACAGACGUCACAACCGGGGAUUUAACAACACACACAAGCCGACCAGUUGCAUUGUCACCUCGUGCAAAGAAAAUCAUCCACCAUGGGUGUGUGGUGCAUUCAAAGCCUUGCCAGUAUCCCAAAGAAAGGAACUAAUCAGCAACAGUAAACGCUGCUUCAGGUGUUUAGCAGCUGGUCACCGCAGAAGAGAUUGCCCUAAUGUAAGACGGUGUGGUCUUAAUGGGUGCAACAGUGACGAACAUAGUCGAUAUCUCCAUGAAGAUAGCCACCAACCGCAUGAGACAAACCAACCCAAGCCAGGACAACACCCAGGAAACAACCAGCGAGACGAGACAAGUAAUCAAAAUGAAGCAACAGCCGAGACCAGAACACAUACAACCAGGCAAGCCGACUAUGUAUCACUUAUGGUUUUACCAGCAGUGAUUAGUAAUGGUACAAAAACACUGAAGGUGAAUGUAAUGCUAGACAACUGUUCAACUGGUUCAUAUGUGUCUGAUGCCGCAGCGGAAGAACUUACGCUACAAGGGAAAAGCCAACAACUUACAAUUUCAGGAACAGGCGGUACAGAGGUUAAGAAACAUUCACGUCAAGUUGAAGUGAUGGUAACCAGUCUCGACAAAAAGUUUUCUGCUAAUCUACAAGCCAAUGUUCUAGAUAAUAUAUCGGGCGACACCCCAGCGUUUGAGUGGUCCAAGCUGAAGAAAGAGUGGCCCCAUCUACAGUCAAUCCCGUUCCCGAAUGUUGCGAAGCGUCGACAAAUUGAUGUCCUUAUUGGAUCAGACAACCCCAUAUUUCACCAUAUUCUACAAGAGGUACAUGGAACUAAAGCGAGAGAUCCAAUUGCACGCAAGACAAGUCUCGGUUGGGUUUGUUUUGGCCCUACGCUUACCGAACAGUUUCGACGAUCAUCCAAAUCCUAUUUCACACGCACCUACCGCACUGAUCAGACCGAAGAACAAGGUUCUGAUGAUAUUCUACGACGGUUUUGGGAGCUAGAAGCCAUCGGUAUUCGAGAUGAAACGGAAAGAGAAUUGACGCCAGACGAGAAGGCAGCAGUAGCCCAAGUAACAGAAACAUUACGUUUGAGAGACGGUCGAUACGAGAUUGGCAUUCCGUGGAAAAGAGGCGAACCACACCUAGUAAACAACUACGAAAUGGCUUUAAACAGACUCAAGACCCAAGAAAGAUCCCUAGUACGAAAAGGUUCCGAAGUAGCAAACACAUAUGACGAGAUCAUCAAGGAUUACGAAAGAAAAGGCUAUGUUAAAAAAGUGCCCAAGAGCAAUGAACUUGAACAGUGGUUUCUCCCACAUUUCCCAGUGAUAAGACAGGAUCGAACAACAACUAAAGUGCGUAUGGUCUUUGAUGCCGCUGCCAAAGACAACGGGAAAUGUCUCAAUGAUGCUGUGCGACCUGGUCCGAAACUUCAAAGAGAGUUAACUGAUGUAUUGACACGCUUUCGACGAGCCCCUAUAGCCCUAUCUGGAGACAUCUCGGAGAUGUUUCUACAAGUUGGUCUUAUUGAGGAAGAUCGACGUUACCACAGGUUUCUCUGGCGCGACUUUGAUUCAAGAAAAGAUCCAGAUCACUACGAGUUUAAACGACUCCUGUUUGGUAACAGGGCUUCCCCAUUCUGUGCACAACACGUUGUGCACACCCACGCGAAAGUUCACGCUGCAGAUUACCCUCAUGCUGCAGAAACUGUUGACAAUUCUAUGUAUGUGGACGAUGUGUUAGACUCAUUUGAGACGGUAGACGAGGCUAUACAACUACGACAUGAACUGUCAGAGUUGCUUGCUAUGUGCAAUUUCAAGCUGAGAAAAUGGUCAUCCAAUGAUUCCACCGUCCUGAACGACAUUCCGACAGAAGACCGUCUGCAGAGCUUUGAGAUCCAUGACACGGAGGAGUCCCCCAAGACAAAGACUCUCGGUAUACUGUGGGAAUCAACGAGCGAUGUUUUUACUUUCCGGGUCCAACCACCCAAUGUGGAUAUGAAGUUGACAAAAAGAAACGUUCUCAGCACUAUAGCGACUAUCUUUGACCCACUGCAGUUCUUGGCCCCCUUCACCCUACGUGCUAAGAUUUUGAUGCAGGAAAUCUGGAUAGCUGGAAUCGGUUGGGACGAUCUCCUUACAGACGGAUUGAUUUUCAAGUGGAAAAAAUGGGUCUCGGAACUACGUGAAUUAUCGCAGGUCACUAUUCCUCGAAGUCUCCGUCUACCCAGUCCUUCCCAAAGUCGGUUACACGUAUUUUCAGAUGCAUCAAAAGAAGCUUAUGCUACGGUAGCCUACUUAGUUUGUCGAUAUUCUGACGAGAGCACGACCUCGAGAAUUGUUGCGUCGAAAAGUAGAGUGGCACCAACAAAAGCAGUGACGAUACCACGGCUAGAACUCAUGGGUGCAGUUCUUUCCACUCGACUGGCAAAGAACAUUAGCAAGACCUUAGAAGUUGGAGAACCUAUAUUCUGGACUGACUCGACAAACGUGUUGUACUGGAUACGAAACCAAAGUCGUGAUUUCAAGCCGUUUGUAGCCAACCGAAUCGGCGAAAUUCACAGAUCCACUAACCCACAGCAGUGGAGACAUAUACCUGGAGAGUCGAAUCCAGCAGACCUGCCAACAAGAGGAUUGUCAGCCACAGACCUAGCAAACAACGAAUUGUGGAAGAAGGGACCAGAAAUUCUACAACAAGACGAGUCAACAUGGCCCCCUCAAAUCCCCAACGAAGAAAUUCAGAGAAAUAUUGUCGAAGGCGAAAGACGAAAGGUUAACGUUACUCACACAACAAGGGACAGUUCAAACCAAAGUCUCAUUGAUCCAAAUCGUUUCUCGAGCUUUCAAAGAUUAGUGCGCGUCACCGGAUGGGUUCGACGUUUCCUGAGUAAUUGCAAACAGCCUAACGAAAACCGAGAAAAAAGUCGGACGCUCCGAGCACAAGAAUUACAGCAAGCAGAGACAUAUUGGUUUAAACGAACACAGAGCGAGGCGUUUCCCGACGGUGUGAAAGAAAAGUGUUUGAUUCAAUUAAAUCCAAAGAAAGACGAGAAUGGUUUAUUACGAUCUGACGGCCGAUUACGCAACGCCACUGACGUGCCAUAUGGUGUUAGACACCCCAUUUUAUUACCCAAAGAUCAUACUGUAACACGUCUGAUAAUUAUAAGUGCACACGAAAAUCUCGGACACGGUUCUGGUGUUGAACAUGUUCUAACUGAGCUGCGUGCCCGAUUCUGGAUAAUCAAAGGAAGACGAACUGUGCGAAAUACGAUUGAAAAGUGUCCUGGCUGUCGUAGACGAUUCACCGGAAAACCAACUACUCAAAUGAUGGCUCCGUUACCGAUGUCAAGAUUGCAAUGCCCCCUACGAGCCUUUGAACGCGUUGGUGUGGAUUACGGCGGACCAUACUUGACCAAACAGGGAAGAGGCAAGACAAGAGCAAAACGUUACCUGUGUCUAUUUACUUGUCUUACUACACGGGCUGUACAUUUGGAAAUGGCGUAUUCCCUGGAUACAGAUUCCUUUAUAAACGCGUUUACCAGGAUGGUAGCAAGGAGGGGGAAGCCGACAUACGUAGUUUCUGAUAACGGUACCAACUUUGUUGGAGCGGAACGAGAACUGCGAGAGUUAGUAGAAGCAUUUGAUCUAGAAAAAAUUACAAACAAGACAACACAAGAUUAUGCGAUGGAGUGGAAGUUCAAUCCACCAUCGGCCCCACACUUCGGUGGUGUAUUCGAGGCAAUGAUCAAGAGUGCUAAAAAAGCCAUAAAAGCUAUUCUUGGUAAUGCGGACAUUACCGACGAGGAACUUCAUACUGCCAUUUGCGAUGCAGAACGUUUAUUAAACUCACGACCAAUCACCUUCAUCAGUUCAGAUCCUGAAGAUCUUUCCCCGUUGACCCCGAGUCAUUUCCUUAUCGGACAGUUGGGAGGAAAAUUUGCUCCUGAAACCGCAGAUCGAGAUGAAGUUUUCAACCCCCGAAAGCGUUGGCAUCGUGUACAGCAGUUGGUGGGGCAGUUUUGGAAACGCUGGAGGAGAGAGUUUCUGCCGAGCUUAAAUACACGAAAGAAGUGGUUUCAUCCGACACACAACCUAAAGGAGGACGACGUAGUGAUGUUAGUAGAGCCGAAUGCAAAGAGAGGAGAAUGGCCUCUUGGUCGAGUUAUCGAAGUAUUUCCUGGAAAUGAUGGAUUGGUACGAGUUGUAAGGAUAAAAACGAAAGACGGUGAAUACUUGCGUCCGGUGCACCGGUUGUGCCCUUUUGAAUACGCAGGAGACAAUUCAUAACGCUCGGACUGUUACCUAAGACAUUGAACACAUCGCAGUUAUAUAUUAACUAGUUUUGUUAGUUGGGUUCGAAUGUUUUUACAUUCGGGAGGGGGAUGUUUCUGUCCUUAUGACAGCAUCCAGUUAAAAAUAGAGAUCAGGAAUGCGACCGCAAAAGACAAGGACCGCGGGCGCAAAAAACGUGAGACGAACGUUUUAUUGUCGUAUCGAAAGAUUGUUUUGCGAAUUCCGUUAAAUAUUAUGUAAAUUUCUUGUUAAAAUACACGAAAAAUCUGAAAGCUAUUUGUUCCACGUAAAAUCGUCUUGACUUUUC